CAGGGCGUAGUUUAAAAAAAAAUUUAUUGUUUGGGACAGUAGGAUGUUUAUGACCGCUUUGA
This 62-nucleotide transfer RNA is filed under the name Mactra alta. Its description in RNAcentral is "tRNA-Pro". Lineage: Eukaryota; Metazoa; Mollusca; Bivalvia; Venerida; Mactridae. The record is from RNAcentral.